UGAGUUAUUACAAUUUAUUACAAACCAAAGUUAAUAAAGAAAAUUACAUCAGAAAUCAAACUACAACAAAAGAUCCUAAUUCAAACUCAAGGUCUAAAAUAUAAGAUGAACCAACUCCGCAUAUCAGGAUUUUCCAAAGCCUUUCUCUCAGUUGAGGUGUAUUAAAAUUCCUAAGAGACUCAAAGGGGGACUCAGGGCAGUGCUUACAACCCAAAUACAUUGCAGAAUAAGAUUAUAGAGCCGUAUGGAAGGGCCAACCUUCAAAUGUCCAAGUUCAAAGGGAACUCGAGGUCCCAAGGCAAGGCUCAUAGGAGGGGAGCAAAACUUAGAGUCUAAAAAUAAGUGUAAGUACAUAGACUGAGUUAGGGGAGGCCAUGGCAUGCUUGGUGGUCAUGUCCAGUAACUAGGCAUGCUCGCACAUCCCUAACCAGCCUAUUGGCUAAGUUUGGGAGCUAGGACCCAUUGAGGGUCGGUUCAGACCUGAGCUGUAAUUUGGAUACUACCAGGCUUUGAACCUUGACUCAAAACAAAUAGAGGGGAAUAUGGAUGUAGGAAUUCAUCAUAGAAAUCGGUACAAGGAAAAUAACAUACAAGUCUAUCACUGAGCAAGAAUGGCAAACAAGAUUGCAGAAGCUGUAAAUAAACAUAUUGGGGUGAUGGUUGAAGCUGAAUCAGAACAUACCAAUUGCAGGGGAAACAAACAAGUAAAGUAGAAGUCUUGUAGACCCAAAUUGCAAGCAAGCAGUAUGAGAGAUCUCAGAUGAAAGUAGAUAGUAGUUUAUAUAAGAAUAUAUGUAUUGGAUUGAAAGUUCCUAGUUGUUGUAAUUGCAGAAGCGUUGUGCCACUUUUAUAGUGCAAAGGACAAGUAAGCAAAGGUAAGAAAAUAAUUUGCAAUCAAUCAUGCAAAGUCUCCCUUUAGUUAAGGGAUUUUGAUUUCAAAUGGGUAGAAGAAAUCUAAGGAAAGAGUUUGAUUAAAAUCAUUUCCAAAGUAACAUAGGAAGGGUAAAUACAUAGGAGUUAAUUAAGGCAACAUCCAAUGGUACACAGUUGGUAAACAGAAAAAGGAAAGGGGAUCAAUCAAAGGACUAGCAAAAUUAAAAUUAUAGGCUUAACUCAAAUGGACCAAGUCAGAAAUAUGUAAAGAGGGUUCAAUUAGAGAAAAUCAGUAACAAUCAAUCAAACCCCCAUUAGAGGAUUUCAGAAUCAAUUGAUUAGUUGGUAAAACCUUUUGAAAGAGGAGUUCUUAUAUUAAAAGCACACAAAUAUGUGAAUACAGAAGAAACUGUCAUGCUAAUUAGAAAAUACAGGCAUGAGAAAAAGAGACAAAAGAAAAUUCAAAGUCACAUUAAGAGACUCACAAUCAGUUCAUAAACUCAGAAUGAGUCUGAUAGUCCAAAGUAGAACCCAAACACGAAAUCAAACUUAACCAAAAGGAAACCCCAAAUCCUAGGGUUUCCACUUGAAUUAGAUAAACAUACAAGAAGGCAAGCCACUGAUAAGGGCUCAGUCAAAAGUCUCUUUUCAGAGACUUAUGUUUUGAAAAUCGUUCAGAAACCCUAAUUUGAAGACAAACAAUUUAAAAAUGAAACUUCUGGGAAAAAAACACUUUGAAAGUUAAGUAAAGCACCAAUACAUCACAGAUGUAGAAAAAUAAAUAGAGAAAAAAACCUCGAACAGCUUAGGGUUUCAGAGAAACUCUAAAAAUGAGAAAGGCUUGGAAAAGUGAGAUCCUGGGAUUGGAUGAGCGAGAAUUCGCUCCUGAAACUUGAAUAUGCCAGAGCACAAGCCGGAGAGGCCAUAGAACCCUAGAUCUAUAGGAUCUGAAGGGAACCAUCGAGGUCAAGGCCUUGAUUAUUCAAAUAUCGAACAUACAGGAGUGAUAGGGAGUGAGUAUGAGGUUAUCAUGACCGGAGAAGCCAUGAUUUGUGGUAAGAUUGAGGCAAGAGACUGUGAGAGAGGCUAGGGUUUCGAAGACCCUUGAGAGAGUUUUGAG
Molecule: long non-coding RNA, 1993 nt
Filed under: Nicotiana benthamiana
Lineage: Eukaryota; Viridiplantae; Streptophyta; Magnoliopsida; Solanales; Solanaceae
Description: long non-coding RNA (NBEN_LNC042043)
Source: RNAcentral